AAUAGUUUUAUGCCACAUCAGUACUCUUAUCCUGAAUUCAGAAUUUUAUCUUGAAAAAAAUCAAAUCCAAAUUAAAAUACUAAAAUUCAGGAUAAAAAUAUUGAUGUGACAUAAAACUAUU
This 121-nucleotide microRNA precursor is filed under the name Gossypium arboreum. RNAcentral describes it as "MIR7504 microRNA precursor family". It matches the Rfam family "MIR7504 microRNA precursor family". Lineage: Eukaryota; Viridiplantae; Streptophyta; Magnoliopsida; Malvales; Malvaceae. The record is from Rfam by way of RNAcentral.